GUGCGUAACACGUAUGCAACUCCCCCUUUCCAGGGCAUAGCCCGAAGAAAUUCGGAUUAAUUCCCUAUACUAUCCACCAGUGGCAUCACCAGUGGAUGAAAGCUCCGGCAGAAAGGGAUGGGCAUGCGUCUGAUUAGCUUGUUGGCGGGGUAACGGCCCACCAAGGCAACGAUCAGUAGGGGAUCUGAGAGGAUGAACCCCCAACGGGCACUGAGAUACGGGCCCGACUCCUACGGGAGGCAGCAGUAGGGAAUAUUGGGCAAUGGAGGCAACUCUGACCCAGCCAUGCCGCGUGCAGGAUGAAGGCCCUCUGGGUUGUAAACUGCUUUUUACAGGGAACAAAUCUCUCUUGCGAGAGAGGCUGAGGGUACCUGUAGAAUAAGCCACGGUAACUACGUGCCAGCAGCCGCGGUAAUACGUAGGUGGCAAGCGUUGUCCGGAUUUACUGGGUUUACAGGGUGCGCAGGUGGCCAUUCAAGUCCGUGUUGAAAGAGCUAGGCUUAACCUAAUUAAACGGAUGGAUACUGAUUGGCUUGAGGCUAAGGACGGUACGCGGGACUUGUACGCGGCUGUCAACGGUCGAAANUUGCUUAGAUAGAC
This 600-nucleotide ribosomal RNA is filed under the name uncultured bacterium. RNAcentral's name for it is "bacterial SSU rRNA". It matches the Rfam family "Bacterial small subunit ribosomal RNA", at positions 106 to 700 of the family's 1533-position model. The record is from RNAcentral.